Non-coding RNA from Nicotiana tabacum (common tobacco), 1787 nucleotides. NCBI's taxonomy places the organism in Eukaryota, Viridiplantae, Streptophyta, Magnoliopsida, Solanales, Solanaceae. The record is from RefSeq and is a predicted model, not a curated record.
UCUCUUCCUCUUCGUUUCUAUUUCCCACACGCUCACUUAAUUCAAAAUCCAAAAUCAACACUCUCUUUGUAAAAUCCAAAAUCAACGGUCUCUUACUUGUGAUCCUCUUCCUUCCCUUUUGCUCCUCUCUGCGUCUUUCGCAUUGUUCUUUUUUAAUAUUUUCUGUUUGGGUUUAAAGCUAUCUCCGGGUUGUGCUGUAUUUUUCCAUUCUUGUGAUUAUUCCUCUAAUCUUAAUUUGGCAAAUGCAUACAUAUUUUUCCUAAUUGGACUUUUAUGGGUAUCUGGUAGCUUUUCUCUUCUUUUGGGUUGUUUUUGUUGGAAUUUCUUCGUGCAUGUUGGUAAUUUUGUCUGAUUUGCUCGUGUGUUGUUUUUUCCUCGCAAUCAAGCAAUUUUACUUGCAUCGCCCCAAUAUUCUUGAACUGGGUUUUUCUUUUCUUUAAAGUUAUUAUUUUGUCUUUGUUAUUUUUAUGAGAUUUUAAUUAAACUGAAUAGUUUGUCAUUAUAUUUGAUGUUUUAUUUUGAAGAAGAUGAACUUCAGUUGAUUUUUCCUUGAAGAUUAAGCUUAGUUGACUUGUUUUUUGCCAAAAUAUUGAUUUUAGUGAACAUAUUUGCUUGAGAUUUGAUUGCUUCUUAAAUAAAUUCUCAAUGUUGCUUUGAGUUUUAUCAAUGAUUUGAUCUUCUCUUUUAAAAGAUGAAUAUAAGUUGAUUUCUUAAAAAUUAUGUUCAUGUAGUUGAAUUAUUUCGAAGAAAUCUUGAUUCUACUGUACAAAUUUGUUGCUUGAGUUGAAUUUUUUCCUUAAAAUUAUUUUGUUUGCACUUGAAGGCGAAUAUUCUGCUUUAUGAGUCAACCGCUUCUUAGGAGUGUUCGUGCUACUAAACAUUUUGUUCACUAUACUAAUUUUCCUUCCAUCCUUUUGUAUCUCAUUUUAGAACUAUUCAUUUGUUCAUGUGUAUAUUAGAAGUGUCAUGCUUUAAGAAUAUUGAUUAGAGUGUUAUAAAAUUUCAGUCUCAAAAGUACAUUUUCAAGAUUAUAUUAAGCUGUAAAAUAUAGUUAACCAUAUUUGGUUAAAUAGACUUGCAUGGUUGAUUGUCUGAUAACAUAUGUUUUUCUAUCACUUCACUUCUUGCCUUUCGGCUCUGAUUGUUUGUGGCUUAUAUUGUUUUUGUGGAUUAAUUCCUCACACACAUGAGCUAGCACUUUGUGAUUUUGGGAGUGAUAAGAUAUUGGGCCAUUGAGGUGAUUUCAGGACUAUGGACUAUACAAAUGUAGGUGACAUAUGUAUUAUGCCCGUUGCGCUAUUCAUAAGUUGCGUUGCAAGAGGCUGCAUGAUAUUUUUUGAUACACCGUAUAGGGUUGGGUUGGAUGAAAUGGAGGUUAGUAUCUGGAGUCCUGUGUGACAAAAAAGUGUCAUUGAUACUCAAAGGUAAGUUUUAUAGAGCGGUGGUUAGACCGGCCAUGUUGUAUGGGGUAGAGUGUUGGCCGGUUAAGAACUCACAUAUACAGAAGAUGAAAGUAGCAGAGAUGAGGAUACUGAGGUGGAUGUGUGGGAACACUUGGAUGAAUAAGAUUAGGAAUGAAGAUAUUCGAGAGAAGGUGGGCGUGACUCCUAUAGAUGACAAGAUGCGGGCAGCGAGACUUAGAUGGUUUGGGCACGUGCGUAGGAGGAGCCCUGAUGCCCCGGUAAGAAGGUGUGAGCGGUUGGCUUUGGUGGGAACGAGAAGAGGUAGAACGCGGCCUAAGAAGUAUUGGGGAGAGGUGAUCAGGCAAGACAUGGCGAGGCUUCAGA